CGGUAGUCCAGUCCAAGAUGGCGGCGCCCUAUGCAACACGUUACAUUUCCACGGCGUGCAAUCGGACGCCCGGCUCGCUGUCUUGGGGCGGAAACAAUUUAAUUUGUUUUGGCGCUUGCAAUAGCGUUGCCAUCUAUGACCCAGAGGCCGCUAAAAUCACAGAAACGCUUAGCCAUCACAAGGGCCGAGUGAACAGUGUCAAAUGGGUCCAGCCAGGAAAUUACAAAUCAAAAGACCUAUCCAGGAUAGAAAUUGUCUCUGCAUCCUCAGACAAAUCUGGCGUUGUUUGGUCGAAAGAUGACACUGGGAAUUUCAUGCCGUCAGCUUUGCUGAUAGGUCAUUCGGAUGUUGUUACGCAAAUAGAUUCUAUUUACUUGGAUGACAAGAUCAAUUGCCCUGCACUUCUUGUGGUGACAGCAUCUGCUGACUCCACUGUUAAACUAUGGCUACGAAAUACUGGAAGUAAUGAAUUGACUUGCAUUCAUACAUUGCGUUCUGGAAGUGGCCUUUUUACAAGUGUGAAACUUUGUAUUCUCCCAAGAAAUAAUGUUCCACUUCUUGCUGUAGCCUCUGAUGAUGCUAAAAUUCAUUUAUACACAGUGAACGUAGAAAUUCCCUCCGUUCAUCUUGUUCAUAAUCUCACUGGUCAUGAAGAUUGGUUGCGCAGUCUUGACUUCGCCAUUCAUGAUGCCGGGGAUGUAUUGCUGGCCAGUGCAGGUCAAGAUAUGCUGAUCCGAAUUUGGCGCCUUUCGCCAAGGGAUUCAGGAAACUGUGGCCAUCACUCCUCAUUUGACCCAAAGAAGGAAAUCAAAUUAGAAGAAGAAAUAUUUUCAAUUGAGACCAGAGGGGUCACCUAUCAUUGGGCAGCAAUUUUAGACUCAGUCCUUGCAGGUCAUGAGGGAUGGGUUUAUUCUGUCUGCUGGCAUCCAAGAGUUUGUGAUAGCUCUGGAAAAGAAAAUCAACCAUUUUGUCUAUUAUCAGCAUCUCUAGAUAAAACAAUGGUUGUAUGGGCUCUUGGAUCGGAUGAAGCUGAUUCUGUGUGGCUGGAGAAAGCUCGUGUGGGUGAAGUUGGUGGCAACACCCUAGGCUUUUAUGGUUGUCAGUUUGCUCCUGACGGAAAAUCAAUUUUAGCUCAUGGGUACCAAGGCUCGUUCCACUUAUGGCAUCACAGUGAGGAUAGUGAUAUUUGGCUCCCAGGAUUGACUGUUGGUGGCCACUUUGAUGAGGUGACCGACUUGGAUUGGGAACCCGAUGGUGUGUUUUUGAUAAGUGUUUCCGCUGAUCAGACCAGCAGACUUCAUGCUCCUUGGGUCCAAAGUGGAGGCAAAGUUUCUUGGCAUGAACUUGCAAGACCGCAGGUUCAUGGUUAUGAUAUUCAGUGCUUGGCAAUACUUUCUCGCUACCAAUAUGCCUCUGGUGCAGAGGAGAAGGUGGUUCGACUUUUUAAAGCACCUGGGAACUUCAUUGAAAAUUUCCAGAGAAUAUGCUGCAUUAAGGAAGAUAAUGUCGAUCAGCUCUUGGCUGCUGCUCCAGCUGGGGCCUCUGUCCCUUCAUUGGGGCUUUCCAACAAAGCUGUCUUUGAUGGUGACACUGUUCUUUCAAGUGGGGAUAGCAAUCAAGCUGAAUUUCCAGAAGGUUACUUCACUCCAGUUAGUUUAGCAGAGCCCCCCAAAGAGGAAGAUUUGCUUCAAAAUACACUGUGGCCAGAAAUACAGAAAUUGUAUGGACAUGGCUAUGAGUUAUUUAGUUUAGCAGCCUCUCAUGAUGGGAAACUUCUAGUUUCUGCUUGCAAAGCAUCGUCAUCUCAACAUGCCGCCAUUAUAUUAUGGGAUGCACUUAAUUGGCAACAACUGCAAAAGCUGCAUUCUCAUGAAUUAACUGUCACUCAGUUGUCCUUUUCUCCAAAUGAUAAGUUUAUCUUAAGUGUGUCAAGAGAUCGCUGUUGGAGUAUUUUUGAGCGACAGGCAGAUGGCACAACUGCAUCAUACCAGUUAUUGGCCUCAACCAACAAAAGUACCUGUAUUCACACGCGCAUCAUUUGGAGUAGUGCGUGGACCCCAGACUCCAAAUAUUUCUCAACUGGUUCAAGGGAGGGAAAGAUUGUGGUUUGGGGAGGAAAUGAUGUGCUUGAAGAUAAAUCAAAUCUAGGAUAUUGGUCCUCUGCAGGAACACCUCUAAUUUUGAAAGAUUCUGUGACAAGUCUAGCAUUUGCUCCUCAACUGAACCCUGGGAAAGGGUAUCUACUGGCAGCUGGGCUUGAGGCGGGUAAUAUUCUCCUUUAUACAUGGAAGCGGGAUCAAAGUGAUCCCUGGACGCCUAUUUUGUCACUCAAUCAAAACCAAGCUCAUCACUUAACUGUAAAGCAGUUAUCUUUUCGGCCGCACAUAGGUGAAGUUGGUGAACAAGAAAAGUCAUCAACCUUACUUCUGGCAAGUGCUGGAGCUGAUCACACUGUGAAGAUCCAUGCUCUUUCCUUCAACUACAUUUGACAUACAACUUCCUCUUGUCUAUCUCAUCUUUUUGUUUACUUACUUACAUCUGUGAUGAAAUGCUUCAUUGCUCUCUUUUACUCUUCAUUCAUUGAGAGGAAAUUGAGUGAAACAUCUGUUAUUCCAGAUCUUUGAGACCAAAUCUAGUCUGUAUCACCAGAGUGGCUGACUGGAAAUAGGAGAAAGAAGAGAAGGUGAUAAUGCGGAUAAUAUAUAAAUUACACCUGAUUGAUUAGAGAAGAUUUUGUUUUAUUUUUACAACAAAUUUAAUUUAAACAUGAUGUUUAUUAAUGGGCACAAGAGAAUGAGUAGUUUGUCCGCUAACAUAAUCAAAGGCAGUUGUAACAAAACGAAAAAAGAAAUCUGGGCCUAUGAAUUAUAAUGGUCCCAAUUUUGCAAAGGAAAAAAAAGAGAGAAAAGAGAAAAACACAGUCUAGAUAAUGUCAGAGAAAGUUUGUUAAAAUAUCUGCAAGCAAUCCCUCCCUUCAAUUUCUUUUGUAACUCCAGAUCUGUCAUGCAGCAAAUGCUGAUGACCUGCUGUCUAUCAUCACUCUCAGAACUAUCCAACUAAAAUGUGUUGUAAUAGCACAGCUAGCAGAGCAGCUGGCUUCAGUGGACUACAUAUACAUCGCUUUCCAGAUCGCCUUGGGUGGGUGGUUGGCAAUCUGAGUUGUGUCAGCAGGUUAACUUCAAUAGCCCAACUGAUCUUGUACAGUCAGAAAAACACUAUAAUAAUCAUGUGGUUCUCUCAAAAUCUCAUCAAGUUGUGUUUGGCUCCAGAGACUUUUAUCAAACCAAGUUGAAGGGAGGAAGCUUACUUAUUUUUUCAUUUAAAAAAAAAGGAAUUAAAUAAAAGCUAGCGUAGCUACUACAGUUGUUUUAGUCAUCUUCUGCUUGAGGACUUUAAAGUUAGCAAAACUAGGGUCACCUACUCUGAUUCAUAUUUUCUUUAACAGUUUGUUUGGCAUUGACAUUUUGUAGACAGAUAAACAAAAAACCCACAAGACUUAUAUUUUUUAAUCUGUCCAAAACUUAUCUGCAUUGACACUCAGAAUUUGUUU
RNAcentral lists this unclassified non-coding RNA (3550 nucleotides) under Thrips palmi. RNAcentral describes it as "probable elongator complex protein 2, transcript variant X2". Lineage: Eukaryota; Metazoa; Arthropoda; Insecta; Thysanoptera; Thripidae. The record is from RNAcentral.